RNAcentral lists this ribosomal RNA (253 nucleotides) under uncultured bacterium. Its description in RNAcentral is "partial 16S ribosomal RNA". It matches the Rfam family "Bacterial small subunit ribosomal RNA", at positions 524 to 776 of the family's 1533-position model. The record is from RNAcentral.
UACGAAGGGGGCUAGCGUUGUUCGGAAUCACUGGGCGUAAAGCGUAUGUAGGCGGAUUGUUAAGUCAGGGGUGAAAUCCCGAGGCUCAACCUCGGAACUGCCUUUGAUACUGGCUGUCUUGAGUCCGGGAGAGGUGAGUGGAACUCCUAGUGUAGAGGUGAAAUUCGUAGAUAUUCGCAAGAACACCAGUGGCGAAGGCGGCCGACUGGUCCGGUUCUGACGCUGAGGCGCGAAAGCGUGGGGAGCAAACAGG